CACCUCGUAGCUCAGCUGGUAGAGCAUGCGCAUACAAAGCGUAGGCGGUGUCCAUGCGUGGUUUUGAAUCCCACCAAGGCUA
This 82-nucleotide transfer RNA is filed under the name Echinostoma caproni. It matches the Rfam family "tRNA". From Rfam's summary of the family: Transfer RNA (tRNA) molecules are approximately 80 nucleotides in length. Their secondary structure includes four short double-helical elements and three loops (D, anti-codon, and T loops). Lineage: Eukaryota; Metazoa; Platyhelminthes; Trematoda; Plagiorchiida; Echinostomatidae. The record is from Rfam by way of RNAcentral.